This 497-nucleotide ribosomal RNA is filed under the name uncultured bacterium. RNAcentral's name for it is "partial 16S ribosomal RNA". It matches the Rfam family "Bacterial small subunit ribosomal RNA", at positions 28 to 507 of the family's 1533-position model. The record is from RNAcentral.
GAUGAACGCUGGCGGCGUGCCUAAUACAUGCAAGUCGAGCGAACUGACGAGAAGCUUGCUUUUCUGAUGUUAGCGGCGGACGGGUGAGUAACACGUGGAUAACCUACCUAUAAGACUGGGAUAACUUCGGGAAACCGGAGCUAAUACCGGAUAAUAUUUUGAACCGCAUGGUUCAAAAGUGAAAGACGGUCUUGCUGUCACUUAUAGAUGGAUCCGCGCUGCAUUAGCUAGUUGGUAAGGUAACGGCUUACCAAGGCAACGAUGCAUAGCCGACCUGAGAGGGUGAUCGGCCACACUGGAACUGAGACACGGUCCAGACUCCUACGGGAGGCAGCAGUAGGGAAUCUUCCGCAAUGGGCGAAAGCCUGACGGAGCAACGCCGCGUGAGUGAUGAAGGUCUUCGGAUCGUAAAACUCUGUUAUUAGGGAAGAACAUAUGUGUAAGUAACUGUGCACAUCUUGACGGUACCUAAUCAGAAAGCCACGGCUAACUACGUG